This is a non-coding RNA of Labrus bergylta (ballan wrasse), 765 nucleotides long. Lineage: Eukaryota; Metazoa; Chordata; Actinopteri; Labriformes; Labridae. The record is from RefSeq and is a predicted model, not a curated record.
ACUUUUGAUAUCCGCUGUGAACGGAUGCUGCUGGAAUGACUUUGUGGAGCACGUACGGAUUCUGUGUGGCCGCACAGUUAUGAUCAUUAAUCACCAGUGCUCGUACAUGCAGACAGACUCGUGCACACAUACAGUAUGUGUUUUCACACAAUUACAGAUAUCCCCAACAUGACUCACGAACAGAAAAAGAAACUAAUGACCAGAUGCAGACAGGAACCAAAUCACUACCAACACAAUAGUCACUCCAAACAAUAGAGGAUAUGACAAACAUAAACACGCAGAAGAAUAGGUACCUUGCUCGUACACGGCGUGCUACAAGAACUCCAGCCAACAAGACCCUCUAUGCCUAUUUCUCUUCACCCCCCUCCUCCUGCCCCCCCCGUCCCAGGUGACUUCAACAGCGGAAAAGUGCAACAAAACGCACGCCACUCCAUUUGUUUACACCAGAGGAUGUUUAGUUUGAAAAUUGGAUGCCGACAUGAAUUCCAUUGUGAGAGAAUAAGAUUGAGUUUAAACCUGGAAGCUGAAUGAUGAUGCUCGCCUCUCGUAGAAGCUCAUUGGUCGCACUCUGACCUUGUGCAGAUGCUCGGUCAUGAUCGGAUGUCACCGGGGAUCUAGGUCGAGCAGAUCCGACAAGCAGUAUCUGGAGGGACGAAUCUUCACCGCGACUUGACAGCUCCCCUCUGCCCGCCAUACGCCCAGACUCGCCUGUGUGUGACACUUCAGACAGUGUGUGUGACAGUGUGUCCCUUGGCCCUUCGCAGC